Molecule: transfer RNA, 76 nt
Filed under: Microthrixaceae bacterium
Lineage: Bacteria; Bacillati; Actinomycetota; Acidimicrobiia; Acidimicrobiales; Microthrixaceae
Description: tRNA-Thr
Rfam family: tRNA
About the family: Transfer RNA (tRNA) molecules are approximately 80 nucleotides in length. Their secondary structure includes four short double-helical elements and three loops (D, anti-codon, and T loops).
Source: RNAcentral
GCCCGGGUAGCUCAGAUGGCAGAGCAGCUCACUCGUAAUGAGCAGGUCAGGAGUUCGAUUCUCCUCUCGGGCUCCA